UCGCCAAGCAAUACUUGUUUUUCUCGGAAUGAGAUUGUUACUUGGGUAACUUCUAGCUUCAAAAUCCUAAGUACUCAAUAGUUAUGUAAUUGAGCUCAUGCUGCCAGUAUCUGUUUAGCAAGAUUCAGCAUUGGACAUUCAGUUGUCUACACUGACUUCAGUUCCCUUUUAAACUCACUAGAAGGUUCCCAUUUCAGAUGCACGUGCAGCAGACUCUGAAUUUGACUCCAAUAAAGCCAGCAUCCUCCUCUAUCAAUUCUCUGUUUUGAAUCGAUUAGCAUCCUCCUCUGUCAAUUCUCUGUUUUGAAUUUCCAUAAUCGAUUCAAACGCAUCGACGUUACAUUAUAUAUCUCAAAGGGGAAUGCGCUAAAGCAAGUGGGAUGAAAAAGCAUACUCUUACAGCAGAAAUAACUCAAAGACUCAUACUCACAUGCACUACAAGUUAAAAUAUGGAAAUUUGGGAGUACCAGAAAGCUGACAGAAAAACAAAAAAUCCACCAAACCAGGAAUAACGAAUCUAUCAAGUCGAUGCAUCUUCUAUGACCUUAACGUCUGGCCAGGAAAGAGAGAAUCUCCCAGACCACGAAUUUCUUCCAAAGAGCCACCAAUUCCACCAGUUCCCCACAAAAGUAACACUCGAGGAUAUAAUCGUGAAAGAGGGAAAAACCCUAACCUGAGCUCGUCGGACGCAGACGACGAACCGGAGCCGCCGGUGGAGCUUCCGGAGGCGACGGCGGAGGCGGAGGCGCAGUUCGUCCGAGGAAUAGAGAGAAGGCUGGGA
RNAcentral lists this long non-coding RNA (781 nucleotides) under Eucalyptus grandis. RNAcentral's name for it is "long non-coding RNA (EGRA_LNC006770)". Lineage: Eukaryota; Viridiplantae; Streptophyta; Magnoliopsida; Myrtales; Myrtaceae. The record is from RNAcentral.